GUGGAAUGAAAAAACUAAAGAGACAACUGACUUACCACACAAAUGGACUAUGGUAGAAGCUGCUGUCCCUUAGUAUUGAAUAUCUCUAUUUUCUUUUAAUCAUAGAAUUCACUGAUAUUUUAGCAGAUAAUGUGGCCGUCCAGGCAGGCAUGAGAUUUCUCAGCCUUACUUCAACUUGAUUAUGACCAUGUGACCCAAUUCUGACAUUUGCCUAAAGGAAAAUUUACCUAAAAAGGCGUUUUCUUGCUAUGGCAGUGUAACCUGUACUAAUAAAUAUAGUGCUAGUCCUGCAUGCAACAAAAAUGAUGGUUUUAACCUGCCCAAAGGAUGGAAAAAGAAGAACAUAAGCAUAAUUUCUGAAUGCAUCACGGCAAAGAUGCAUGUACUCAUGAAGCAUAAAAUUAAAAAUAUGAUACAUUCACUACAUGAAAA
Molecule: long non-coding RNA, 432 nt
Organism: Homo sapiens (human)
Lineage: Eukaryota; Metazoa; Chordata; Mammalia; Primates; Hominidae
Source: Ensembl